RNAcentral lists this ribosomal RNA (1088 nucleotides) under Jujubinus vexationis. Its description in RNAcentral is "eukaryotic LSU rRNA". It matches the Rfam family "Eukaryotic large subunit ribosomal RNA", at positions 394 to 1310 of the family's 3401-position model. Lineage: Eukaryota; Metazoa; Mollusca; Gastropoda; Trochida; Trochidae. The record is from RNAcentral.
AGUACGUGAAACCGUCUAGAGGUAAGCGGGUGGACCCGUCCAGUCGGCCCUCGGAAUUCAGCUUUCGGGACCGUCCGCUGGCGCUGCAAUGUGAUCCCUGGGACGCGUGCGGUGUCAGACCGGGCUCCUGAGAGUGCACUUUCCGUGUUGGCAGAGCGUCACGACCGGCUCGGCGGCGGUGAUAAGGCCUGGGGGAAGGUAGGUCGUGAGUCUUCGGGCUCACGACUGUUAUAGACCCUGGGAGAUAGCCGCUGCGGGGCCGUGGAUCGACCCGUCGUAUGGCAGUGGGGCUUCCCGCGUUCGUUCGACUCGGAAGGACUGGCUUGCCGUGCUUCCGGACUGCGAUGCGUGGGCGGACUCUGCGAUAGCCCGCGAUGUGUUAGGGUCAGUGACACACGAUCGGUAAUCCACCCGGCCCGUCUUGAAACACGGACCAAGAAGUCCAACAUGUGCGCGAGUCAUUGGGUCCUACGAAACCUAAAGGCGUAAUGAAGGUGAAGGCAGGUUCGGCCUGCUGAGGUGAGAUCCNGGCCCUCGGGCUGGGCGCAUCACCGGCCCGUCUGCAAAGGCGGAGCAAGAGCGCACACGUUGGGACCCGAAAGAUGGUGAACUAUGCCUGAGCAGGAUGAAGCCAGAGGAAACUCUGGUGGAAGUCCGUAGCGAUUCUGACGUGCAAAUCGAUCGUCGAACUUGGGUAUAGGGGCGAAAGACUAAUCGAACCAUCUAGUAGCUGGUUCCCUCCGAAGUUUCCCUCAGGAUAGCUGGCGCUCGUAACAGUUUUAUCCGGUAAAGCGAAUGAUUAGAGGCCUUGGGGACGAAACGUCCUCAACCUAUUCUCAAACUUUAAAUGGGUAAGGAGUCGGACUCGCUUAAUUGGAGUCCGGACUGGAAUGUGAGUGCCAAGUGGGCCACUUUUGGUAAGCAGAACUGGCGCUGUGGGAUGAACCAAACGUCCGGUUAAGGUGCCUAACACUGACGCUCAUGAGAUACCAUAAAAGGUGUUGGUUGAUAUAGACAGCAGGACGGUGGCCAUGGAAGUCGGAAUCCGCUAAGGAGUGUGUAACAACUCACCUGCCGAAUCAACCAGC